UACGUAUAUAAUACAAGUGGUCAAUAGUAGCUGUAAAAUGCAGUAGCAUACGCAUACGACGGAGUAGCAUAACGGGAAAACGUUCGAGCACGGCGCAGACGAUCAAUCAACCCAGAUCGGCUCGAGCUCGCUGAACGUCGCCUUGGGGUGGUAGGCCCCGCCCUUGAGACCCUUCGCCUCCAUGCGCGUGCGCACGCUCCGGUGGACAAAGAACGGCGUGUGGUGCUUGGGGACGUGGCGACCGCGGCCCAUGUUCGGUGCAAUCGCUUUGUGCAUCUUCCGCUGG
RNAcentral lists this unclassified non-coding RNA (286 nucleotides) under Hevea brasiliensis (rubber tree). Lineage: Eukaryota; Viridiplantae; Streptophyta; Magnoliopsida; Malpighiales; Euphorbiaceae. The record is from RNAcentral.